GAAACUGCCAGACAAUGGCUAUUUCUUAUUAAAUAAUAGAAUAAAUGUAGAACUACAACUGUGGGAGACCAGAGGAGAAGUGCGGCCUCACUGGCCUCCUGUGUGAGCACAAAGGAGGAAGGCUGCACUUGGGGGACCGCAUAGUGCACGUUAGGGAAAGGUUAAGACAGCUGAGGUUAGGUUGUUUACCUGAGAAUGUGCUAGCGGGUACUGGAAAGCAGGUGACUCUUGUGUUACUCUGAUUGCUCGCACUUGAGCGGAUGAAUGAAAGCGAGGUGAGGGAGGGCCUCAGGCUUCUCCGCCUGCUAGAGGUGAGCACCCCUGGCUGCCCACAUGCUGAGCUGACUCCAUGUCUGUGACUCAUCCUCGUUCACCCAUGGCUCAGGGAGAACAAACUUGAUAAUCGAGACGCCACUCCAGCCUAAAGAAUUACACUUGAGGAGCCGCUACUGCCAGCUGCAUUUUCUGAACAACCUAAGCUGAUUUACCAUCAUCAAGGGUGAACUCGGUAAGCACACCGCACAGUGCUCGCUGAUACCUGUGAGGAGCCUGCUGCCGAGCUUAGGAAGAGCCUGUGCCCACAGGAAGCACCGGAGACGCUGGGCUCCCGCUCUGCAGGGGCUGAGGGGUCACUGGAUCGCGCAGCGCGGAGGCUGCCCGCGGCUGAAGGGUCCCGCACGGGGGCGCCCAGGCGCCCAGGCAGGCUCAGUAGCGGAGGCCAGGCCUUCCCUUUGCACCGCGGCCCGAAGGGACAGGGCGGGGCGGCACCGUGCUGGGUGCGCUCAGCGUGGAGAAGAUGAACCCUGCGGCGCCCCCAGUUCCUCGUCUGCGCCCGCACGCGGGGAACAGAUCCGCCCCAAGGCCUCGGGCCGCGGUGUGCAGCACGCCCUCCCCGCCCGAUGGAGGAGGAGGAAAGAGACUUGAGAAGCUUCCACCAGGGCUGGCGUUUACACUGGGGUGAGAACCGAAAGGGGGCUGCCGUGCUGUGGAUCUGUACAGGAGCCCAGCAAGGCUAAACACUGCUUUUCUACCAAAAGGACUGGACUGAAACAAGGAACAUUUCAAAGUGAAAGUGUUUUUUGAUAAAUGCUCACAUUUCUUAGAUCUGCCAACUGCGAGGGCCGCAGGAAGUACAAGGAAGCAGCUGUGUGCCAGCGCUUGCGAACAAACUCCUUCCUGCAGCAGGGUAGUGUGUGCCCGGGUGAUGGUCUCUGCAGGGCAGUCCCUCUGUGUGACGGUCUCGGGAGGCAGGGAGGUGACAAAGGCAAUGUGUGAUUUGUUCUCAGUAAAGAGCCAUCUGAUUCUCUCAACUGCACUUGGUAACCUUACUCUGCAUCUUCCAAGAACAUGGUCCCUGGAGGUUCAAAUGUCCAAUCAGAUUUUAUUUUGGAGACAAGAUAAACUCCUCAAAGUUAAGCAAAUUACAUAACAGAUUUCUUUAUGGAUAUAAAAAUGAUUCCUGAACAUAGAAAUCCCGUAUUCAGUGGGGAUGAAGUAGAUACCAUAAAGCACAGUACAGAACUCAAUCUUUGUAUGUCCCUAUGUGAAUGCCCUCCCCUCUUCACCCUUGCAGAAUCUUAACUUUGUCUCCUAAAAGAACUAGAGUCCAUAAUUAGUUACUGUAAGGAAGGACAACACAAGAACUUCCCCUCCUCAACACGUCCCACACCCCAGCUCCAUCUGUUUCCCGCCCUCUUCUCUCGUCCACAUAUUGUCCAUCCUACACACGUCAUAAUGGCUAUGUGUACGAACAGUGCAAGAACACUUGAAGCCCAAAGUACUAUCUGAAAUGAGCUGUAAUCUCAUCUUUUUACAUACAGGAUCUUAAAACCUUAGGAGCAGCAAGAAAAAUGCAGAUCAAUCCGCUUAUGGGACCUAACAUUUGGGAGAUACGUAGUAACAACAGGAGGAAUUGUAACAAUGACCAUCUGUACAGGAGACCUAAGAACAGAAGCUCUGUGCAAUCAGGAAAAGCCCGUUGCUUUUUAUUUCUUUGAUGUCCAAGACAUAUGCUGUCUGUGGUAACCCUUGCGUUUCCAACAUAGGUGAAGGCAAAGCUAGAAUGUGGCAUCAAUGAGAAACGGUUCUUCACCAGAUACCUAAUCUACUGUCACCUUGCUCUUAAACUUCCUAGCCUCUAAGGGUCUGACAAGUAAACUUCUACAGCUCACAAGCCAACCCCAGUUUAUGGUCUUAGUACAGCAUCUCCAAUGAACUAAGACACUUUACACCACAGGCUGGGUUAAGUGCCCCCUCUGAAUACUUAUCUUCACCACUCAACAAACCAAAGUAGAGAGAUAAUUCUUUAUUAUUUGUUUGACGCUGGGCAUAUAAAGAUGCUGAAUAAAUGCUUCUGAAUGAAUCUGCAAAUAUAUUUGAUCCUUAAGGACAAGUAGUAUAUUUUACUCAAUCUUGCUAGCUCUAGCACCAUGAAAGUGUAUAUAGUACCUUCCCAAUAAAUGCACUUCUUUGGCGAAUACUUCUUAUACAUGUUAUAGACACAUCCAGUUCCUAAGACCUUCUUGAAUGUCAAAAUAUUAAUCACUUGGAUAAAUUAAUUUUCACAUUCUUAAAUCAUCUGGACUCUUCUAGUGUAAUAAAGGGAUUUGAAAUAUACAAGAGAUGUUCCUCCUAAAGGCAUCACUCCACAUUUGUCAUCUACCUCAUAAAACUUGGGGACAGGAUGGACAUGGAGACCACUUCCUGCCAACACCCUGCUUCAGAUCUGAUCGGGCUCCUCCUACAGGUGCAACACCAGGGGCCAAGGUGUGCACCAAAGACCUGCAAGGCACCAUGCACCGGGAAACAUCGGGUCCCACACACGCUUAGUAUUUCCAGAGGCCUAGACACCUUCAGGUUUUGCUCACAUGUCCAUGGUAGAAUCUGUAACCAAGGACUGUACCCUGUUCAAGCAGAAAAGGACUUAGGGAAACAGGAAAAAUUAAGUUACACAGAGCACUGAAAAUGGACACAGAAAGUGGUAGGUUGUCUCAUGCCUCACGAUUUUGAGUUACCACUAAAGAAACAGUACAGUCAGCCCUUGAUAUUCACAGGGAAUUAGUUCCAGGACGCCCUGAGGAUGUCAAAAGGCACAAAUUCGCAAGACCUUUAUAUAAAACCAUGCAGUGUUUUCAUGCAACCUACUCAUAUCUUCCCACAUAGUCAUGACUGGCAUAAUGUUUUGGUCAACAUUUGAUGGCAGUCCCAUAGAUUUUAUCAAGUGGUGACAUUGUAGCUAUCUUAGUUUGUGUAAGAGUGCUCUAUGCUGUUUCCACAGUGACAAAUCACAUAGGAAGCAUUUCACACAACUCAUCCCUGUCAUUGAGCAACACAGGACCAUACCUCAAAUCACUUAUAAUACCUAAUACAUUGUAACUGUUAUGUCAAUUGUUGUAUUGUUUAGGGAUCAAUGACAAAGGAAAUCUAUACUUCAAUGUAGACACAAUGUUUUUUAAAUAUAUUUGAUCUGAGGUUGACAGAAUCCAUGGAUCCAGAACCCACAAAUAAAAAGUAGCCAGCUGUAUAACCGACCUCAAAAGGAUGUCAGAACUGGAGCUCUACAGGCUUUAGCUGAGGGGGGCUGAACAUUACUGAGGCGACAGUACAAGCUCACAUGACAUGAGAUCUGCCACUCCAAAGCUCUCUGAUUUUCAAGAAACUACUGCUGCCUAUGUUUCUUAAUCUGUUAAAUGCAGACUUGUGGCUCAGAUGAAUUGGAUUAGUAUAGAAAGUCUUUGGCCAAUAGUAAAUCCUAUUGUUAUUUGCUGGCAUUAAUGUCAUUAUUAGCAAACUAGUCAAGGAAGUAACAACCCUAUGUUCUCUAACACAAACAUAAACCAAAACCACUAAGUCAGUAAUUGCUUCCUACAAGUCAUCAUUAAAAGCAACUCAGAAAAUAAGCUGUAACUGUUCACCAAUUAAGGUUUUUAUUGUGUUUAUUUCUACAAAACCACUUCCUCUCCCCCACAAAGACAGAAGAGGAAGAGCCUGGGAAGAGGAGCACAGUCUCUGGAGUUUCCCCCAGGAGAGGGUGGAGGGACUUGUCUGGGGAAAGGACCUGAGAUCUCUUCUAGGUCCCGGGCAGCUCCUGGCAGUGCUUUACACUGAUGUCUACCAGCUGUUCUGGCCAUGAUGCUUUUGAAUGCAAUGGAGGAGCAAGGCAGCCUGUUAAAAUGAAUCGAUGGGGAGAACCAGGGCGGUGUGCAUGCUGCCGUCCAACCCUGAACCAAGUCCUCCGGGCUGGGUAUGGCACACACAUGCACACAGGGACACAACGUGGACCUGACCUGUUGCAGGACUCCUACUCACAGCUGUCGGCACAUGGCCACCUUCUGCAUCAUGUCCUUUGAGUGCAUGAGCUCAGGAGCUUUCCUUGUGAGGUGCAGGAAACCCAGCCUGACCUCCCCAUAUUCGCCCCUGCCUUGGCAGCCCACCAAGAAACACUUGAUGGCUCCACGCUGCAGCUACAUGCCGGAGGCAACCCAGACAACUCAGGUGCUUACAGAGGAAGGUGUAGAACUUCCCAGUGGCCCCAUUGGUCCUGGCUACUGCCGGAGGGUAAGUCUAGCUCACCCCUUCCAGAAAAUUCUUUUGGUCUCAACCAUAGCUGCCUGACAUAGAGAGAGUUUCUUCUGAAGGAUGCAUAAGAGCAACUGGUUCUGUUUGAGACUCCACUGCUGAUGCGGGUGCUACGGGUAGAAGAGGAGAUCACAGUACUAUGCUGGAAGGCUGUGCUAGGGAAAGGCGGUCUUCAUCUCCAGCCCAGGGAAGGAACGAACAGGCACUUCAGCUGUUCUCCUGGGACUCCUGGUCCUCCUUAAGAUGCUGAGUUCCUGGUUAGAGAACCCAGUAAGGAGGGAAUGGCAGAUGUGCUGGUUUGAGCUGACAGCAACUCUAGACUCUGUCUCACAGAUGAGAAAGAACUGCAGCAGCUGGAGGAGUCAGCUGAAGGCAGGGGCUUCUUGGUGAUGGUGUGGCCCUCCAGCUGGGGUGUUUUACAGCCCAGAAGCAGAGAGCUGGCCACUGCUUCUUCCUACUCCUGCCUGCUAAUGAGUCAUGAAUGUGGCCCCAUUCAUAGCCCAUGCAUGGCAUCAACUCAGACUGGAAAGGCAUGACAAUCAGGGAGUGGGUUGAAGUAAGGCCUC
Heterocephalus glaber (naked mole-rat) is the source of this 5144-nucleotide long non-coding RNA. RefSeq lists it as uncharacterized. The record is from RefSeq and is a predicted model, not a curated record. NCBI's taxonomy places the organism in Eukaryota, Metazoa, Chordata, Mammalia, Rodentia, Bathyergidae.